CCGGCACGGGUGAGUAACACGUAUCCAACCUGCCGUCUACUCUUGGACAGCCUUCUGAAAGGAAGAUUAAUACAAGGUGGCAUCAUGAGUCCGCAUGUUCACAUGAUUAAAGGUAUUCCGGUAGACGAUGGGGAUGCGUUCCAUUAGAUAGUAGGCGGGGUAACGGCCCACCUAGUCUUCGAUGGAUAGGGGUUCUGAGAGGAAGGUCCCCCACACUGGAACUGAGACACGGUCCAA
RNAcentral lists this ribosomal RNA (237 nucleotides) under uncultured bacterium. RNAcentral's name for it is "partial 16S ribosomal RNA". It matches the Rfam family "Bacterial small subunit ribosomal RNA", at positions 100 to 334 of the family's 1533-position model. The record is from RNAcentral.